This 68-nucleotide transfer RNA is filed under the name Xylosandrus sp. RNAcentral describes it as "tRNA-Leu". Lineage: Eukaryota; Metazoa; Arthropoda; Insecta; Coleoptera; Curculionidae. The record is from RNAcentral.
UCUAAUAUGGCAGAAAAGUGCCUUGGACUUAAACCCCAAUCAUAAAGAUAUUAAUUCUUUUUUUAGAA